This 895-nucleotide unclassified non-coding RNA is filed under the name Hevea brasiliensis (rubber tree). The record is from RNAcentral. Lineage: Eukaryota; Viridiplantae; Streptophyta; Magnoliopsida; Malpighiales; Euphorbiaceae.
ACUUGUGUGAAACCGGCCUUCUUAAACCAUUCUAUAUAUUCUUCUUCUUUUGGAAAGAGCAUCCACACAUCUGCAAAGAAACGAGAUAACCAAAAUGUUGGGUACACCGGACCAAUCAGGCAGGCAACCCCACCUAUGGUUAGUACCCGAUAAGCUUCCUUGAUACCACGCUGUGGAUCUGGCCAAUACUCAAUGCUUCCAGCUGAAAUAUAUCUAUCAAAAGUAUCAGUAGGAAAUGGGAGAUCCUCAGCAUCUCCUUCAAGUAUCUUGCACUCUUUCAAUGGCUCCUUCUGCCUAGCCUUAGCAAGCUGAUGAGGUGAUUGAUCAAUAAUAGUCACAUUUUUAGCAUCAACAUGCUUAACAAUCCCAAGAGUAGUAAAUCCAGUUCCACCACCAACAUCCACCACUUGCAAAUUCCUUGCGUGUAGCUCAGCAGGUUCAAGUGCUUCAUCUCUCAUAUCUUCAGUCCAAUGCCCAGGAUUUAUGACAUGGUCAUACACAAUAGACAAGAACCUGUAGAACCAAAAUGCCUCUUUUUUGUGUUGUAUGAAUCUUGGUUGAGAAGCUGGCCUUGAAGCAGACAAACUGCAUUUGGUGGGUCUUAGAGUUCUUGUUGCUCUCAAAUUAACAAAACCCUUUUGGGGUAAACACUUUAGAUUCAGUUCUGACCCAAGAAAUGAUGAGCCAGAUGGAGAAAUUCCACUAAGAAGCUUGAAAUUAUCAGAUCCACUCAGUAUUGAAGACGCCAUGAAAGUAUUUUUAUAGCUUUGAAGAUGUAAUUUUUACAAUACUUCAAGCUAAAAGAAGCUAAACCCAGAUGCUAUAUCUUCAAAUUCAUCAAUUUCGAUAAGUUUUUCUGCAAUUUUAAUGAAAUUUUUAAAAAGUUGAAGAAGAA